UGUUUCACUGGAAGUUUCAGACUGUUUAUCUGAUACCGCAGAACCAGACUUAUCAUCAGAAGCACUCGAAUCUCCAUUCUCUGUGGCUGUGGUAGUGGUUGAAGAAUCUACUUGCUGGCUGUUACUGUCUGUGUCCGAUUUCUCUGUUACUUUAUCUACCGACGACUGUUCUUCACCGCCAGAUGAUGAACCCUCUGAAGUGCCAACUUCAUUCUGAGCUGUUCCAUCUGCAUUGUUCGAGGAUGUAUCAACUUGAUUCUGACCAGUCUCCUCUGCAUUUUGCGACAAUGAUACGCCCUGGUUUUCAGACACAUCUUCUGUUGUUGAUGUCUCUUGCUGGUUGUUCG
This 347-nucleotide long non-coding RNA is filed under the name Linum usitatissimum (flax). RNAcentral's name for it is "long non-coding RNA (LUSI_LNC001252)". The record is from RNAcentral. Lineage: Eukaryota; Viridiplantae; Streptophyta; Magnoliopsida; Malpighiales; Linaceae.